This 305-nucleotide ribosomal RNA is filed under the name uncultured bacterium. RNAcentral's name for it is "bacterial SSU rRNA". It matches the Rfam family "Bacterial small subunit ribosomal RNA", at positions 335 to 658 of the family's 1533-position model. The record is from RNAcentral.
UCUCCUACGGGACGCAGCAGUGAGGGAUAUUGGUCAAUGGGGGAAACCCUGAACCAGCAACGCCGCGUGAGGGAAGACGGUUUUCGGAUUGUAAACCUCUGUCCUCUGUGAAGAUAAUGACGGUAGCAGAGGAGGAAGCUCCGGCUAACUACGUGCCAGCAGCCGCGGUAAUACGUAGGGAGCGAGCGUUGUCCGGAUUUACUGGGUGUAAAGGGAGCGUAGGCGGGGAUGCAAGUUGGGUGUCAAAACUACCGGCUCAACUGGUAGUCGCACUCAAAACUGCAGCUCUUGAGUGAAGUAGAGGC